Pelobates fuscus (common spadefoot toad) is the source of this 145-nucleotide non-coding RNA. RefSeq annotates it as small Cajal body-specific RNA 11. Lineage: Eukaryota; Metazoa; Chordata; Amphibia; Anura; Pelobatidae. The record is from RefSeq and is a predicted model, not a curated record. The transcript has a single exon.
CCCCCCUUAUUGAUAAUUUUAGGGCCCCCACCCGCCGCACAGAGGUGGGGGCCGGGGGGGGGGGACAGUAGGUUCCCCCCCAUUGAUAAUUUUAGGGCCCCCACCCGCCGCACAGGGGUGGGGGCCGGAGGGGGGGGGGGACAGU